UAGCUUUCUUAUUGGUUGUGUGCGAAAUUAUACAUGCAAGGCUCCCCAAUCCAGUGAGAAUGUCCUUAAAAUCUCUCAAGAUCAAAAGGAACAGGUAUCAGGUGCACUCACCAGUAGCCCACAACACCUUGUAAAACCACACCCCCACGGGACACAGCAGUAAUUAAACUUAAGCAAUAAACGAAAGUUUGACUAAGUUACGCAACACACCAGGGUUGGUAAAUCUCGUGCCAGCCACCGCGGUCAUACGAUUAACCCGAACUAAUAAACCUCCGGCGUAUAGAGUGUUUUAGAACAAUAAACAAUAAGAUUAAACUUUAUUUAAGUUGUAAAAGACUCUAAAUAAAAGUAAACCCAACAAACGAAGUAAUCUUAACCCAUCUGAACACACGAAAGCUACGACCCAAACUGGGAUUAGAUACCCCACUAUGCUUAGCCAUAAACAUAAAAACUCCACAACAAAAGUUUUCGCCAGAGAACUACUAGCAACAGCUUAAAACUCAAAGGACUUGGCGGUGCUUUAUAUCCACCUAGAGGGGCCUGUUCUAUAAUCGAUAAACCCCGAUCAACCUUACCACUUCUUGCUAAUACAGCCUAUAUACCGCCAUCUUCAGCAAACCCCUACAUGGAACAAAAAGUAAGCACAAUAAUCCCCAUAAAAACGUUAGGUCAAGGUGUAGCCCAUGAAGUGGAAAGAAAUGGGCCACAUUUUCUUACCAAGAAAAUUAAUUAACGACAGUCACUAUGAAACUUAGAGAUCUAAGGAGGAUUUAGCAGUAAAUUAAGAAUAGAGAGCUUAGUUGAACCAGGCCAUGAAGCACGUACACACCGCCCGUCACCCUCCUCAAAUACCUCAACUGGUGAACACAAACCACCAAACACCGUACAAGAGGAGACAAGUCGUAACAAGGUAAGCGUACUGGAAAGUGUGCUUGGAAGAA
RNAcentral lists this non-coding RNA (941 nucleotides) under Chinchilla lanigera (long-tailed chinchilla). Its description in RNAcentral is "partial 12S ribosomal RNA". It matches the Rfam family "Bacterial small subunit ribosomal RNA". The record is from RNAcentral. Lineage: Eukaryota; Metazoa; Chordata; Mammalia; Rodentia; Chinchillidae.